This 468-nucleotide ribosomal RNA is filed under the name uncultured bacterium. Its description in RNAcentral is "partial 16S ribosomal RNA". It matches the Rfam family "Bacterial small subunit ribosomal RNA", at positions 28 to 507 of the family's 1533-position model. The record is from RNAcentral.
GACGAACGCUGGCGGCGUGCUUAACACAUGCAAGUCGAACGGAAAGGCCCUGCUUUUGUGGGGUGCUCGAGUGGCGAACGGGUGAGUAACACGUGAGUACCCUGCCUUUGACUUUGGGAUAACUUCAGGAAACUGGGGCUAAUACCGGAUAUGAGCUCCUGCUGCAUGGUGGGGGUUGGAAAGUUUCGGCGGUUGGGGAUGGACUCGCGGCUUAUCAGCUUGUUGGUGGGGUAGUGGCUUACCAAGGCUUUGACGGGUAGCCGGCCUGAGAGGGUGACCGGGCACAUGGGGACUGAGAGACGGCCCAGACUCCUACGGGAGGCAGCAGGGGGGAAUAUGGCACAAUGGGCGGAAGCCUGAUGCAGAAACGCCGCGUGCGGGAUGACGGCCUUCGGGUUGUAAACCGCUUUCGCCUGUGACGAAGCGUGAGUGACGGUAAUGGGUAAAGAAGCACCGGCUAACUACGUG